UUGUUUUCCUGAAAAUAUUUAUACCAUAGUUGGGAAAUAUUAAAAUUCUGUGUGGGAUAGAGUACAAUAUUCUUUAUGGAUCGGAACGAUUGGGAUAAGUCCAAUAUUCGUUGCAGAAUAUUAUACUUUUUCAAUAUCAUAAUCUAAAUAAUAAAAGCCACCUUUGUGUAUGUAUAAGCGAUCCACAACUAAGUCAAACGCACAUGGUUCUGAAAUGGUACUUUGGUACUUUUAACUAAAGUUUGUUUCUCUACUUUUAACUUUGAGUUACGACAUUUCGAAAUUUUUCAAUAACUGUAACUUAAAUAAUUUUGGUUUAAAUACCGUAUUAUUGAAGUAUCUAUUCUAAAAAAAAAUGGUGAAGUUGGAUUUCCUUAUAAUAAGAUUUGAUCGUACAUCGUUAUUAGGUUUCGAAUAAAUAAGGGGAUUCAAUUAAAAUGUUUAUCCUGAUGAAUAAUCUAAAGAGUUAUUGACUUAGGUAUAUGAUGUAUAGAAUGAAGGUUAACCAAAAACAAUUGAAAACUGUCUUAGUGUAGUUUUAUUUUUACAGGGUUAGCAAAAAAUUACAAACAUGCAUUGAUGAAAAGCUUGAAAAUGUAAAACAAGAUUUCAUAACCGCUCAAGACGAUUCAUUCUUUCUGUGUACAAAAAAUUGAAACUGUUGAGAAAAAUAUUUUUAGUAAAAUAAUUGAAGAAUUGUCAAACGACGGUACACAUUCAACGCACCAUCAGAAUAAACCGGAAUCCUUAAAAAAUUAAGAACCGGAACCUUUAUUUUAAUAAAUAAAGUACCGGAACCGUAAAGCAGUUUUUAAAUUAAAUAGGUUAUUUUAGG
Acyrthosiphon pisum (pea aphid) is the source of this 835-nucleotide long non-coding RNA. RefSeq lists it as uncharacterized. The record is from RefSeq and is a predicted model, not a curated record. Lineage: Eukaryota; Metazoa; Arthropoda; Insecta; Hemiptera; Aphididae. The transcript has 3 exons.